GGUUGUGGCUCAGUGGUUGAGCGUUUGCCUCACAUGUGUGAGGCACUGGGUUUGAUCCUCAGCACCA
This 67-nucleotide transfer RNA is filed under the name Marmota monax (woodchuck). RNAcentral's name for it is "tRNA.Val". Lineage: Eukaryota; Metazoa; Chordata; Mammalia; Rodentia; Sciuridae. The record is from RNAcentral.